GUCAGGAUGGCCGAGCGGUCUAAGGCGCGCAGCGUUCAGGUCGCAGUCCACUCUGUGGGCGUGGGUUCGAAUCCCUCUUCUAACA
Non-coding RNA from Trichonephila clavipes, 85 nucleotides. Lineage: Eukaryota; Metazoa; Arthropoda; Arachnida; Araneae; Nephilidae. The record is from the annotation of a GenBank genome assembly.